Molecule: RNA transcript, 1149 nt
Organism: Eucalyptus grandis
Lineage: Eukaryota; Viridiplantae; Streptophyta; Magnoliopsida; Myrtales; Myrtaceae
Exons: 2
Source: RefSeq, a predicted model, not a curated record
AUUCGAAGUGCUUAAUGUAAAUGGUGAAAAAUUAACAGCAGCUAAAAAUUUGGGUUCGCAUGAAGACGCAUUUCCUCGAACAGCUCAGUUGCAUCAUCAUCAUCUCUCCCUCCAUCUCUAUGGGCGUGAAGAAGAUGCAGAGGGCUCGCCCCGCCGCUCCACGACCGCAACAUCCCCACUGAAGAACGAUGGAGAGGCACGUCCAGGCGUUCCUCAACAAGCUCUCCCUCGCCUCCGUCGCCGUCGCCACCUUCACCCUCCUCCUCCUCUUCCUCCGGCCGCCCCCGCAGACCUGCCUCCCCCACCGCCGCCGCCCGCCACCGCUUCCCCAGGUCCUCCUGCGACGCCGCCGCCCGCCGCGAGUUCCUCCCCCUCGACAAGAAGAACAAGCGCCUCUGGUCCUCCCGCGCCUUCCGCGGCCAGGUCCUCUCCUACCGGACCUUCUUCGGCUCGAUCCGCGACCUGGGCCUCCUCCGCAACGACUCCAAGGUCCUCUGCGUCUCCGCCGGGGCCGGCCACGAGGUCAUGGCGCUGUCCGAGUCCGGGGUCGCCGACGUCACCGGGGUCGAAUUGAUCGACUCGCCCCCGCUGGUGAGCCGCGCCGAUCCGCACAACUUGCCCUUCUUCGAUGGGGUUUUCGAUCUGGCGUUCAGCGGGCAUCUGGAGGAGGCUCUGUUCCCGUCGCGGUUCGCGGCGGAGAUGGAGAGGACGGUGAGGGUGGGCGGGGCUUGCGCGGUGGUCGUGGCGGAGUGCGGGGACGCGGAGGUGGAGGAGAUUGUGGGAUUGUUUAGGAAGUCGAGAUUUUUGGAUGCUGCUAAUGUUACUUUGAUUGGAUUGAAGAUGACUAGAAUCCUAAUGAGAGUUAAAGCUGCUUCCUGAUCAAUUUGUUGUGCCUGUUGCUUCAUCAUCUCUGUCGAUUUAGAUGAUUUGUUGGGUUUUAAAGCAGGUUGGAGUGUCUCUGGCACUCUUCGUGUUAUCCUCAGUUCUGUAGGUGUUGGAUCAACAGAAAAUGGGUCGUUAGGUAAAUGAGAACUUUGUAUUUCAUUUCAUCAAAUAGAUCCUCGCGGCGAUGUUGUGAUGUUCAACUCAAGAAAGUGCACACAGAGCGACAAAUGCAAAGUUAGAACCAAAAUCAGUACAUGAGCAAAA